This 1208-nucleotide long non-coding RNA is filed under the name Calidris pugnax (ruff). RNAcentral describes it as "lncRNA (ENSCPUG00000009266.1)". The record is from RNAcentral. Lineage: Eukaryota; Metazoa; Chordata; Aves; Charadriiformes; Scolopacidae.
UUUUCCUCUUUGCAGGAAAUUCCAGUGCCAGGAUGUUAAACUCAGACUUCCUCACAACAGCCUGCUGGUGACGGCUUGCACCCGGUGGGCUGUGUGACAGUGUGUUUUGUCUCCUGGUGAGCUGAAAGGAAGCAGAAGCUGUCCAACAGUGAGUGUAAGAGAUCCCAUUUCUCCUUCCCCCCGAUCCCCCGUAGCGUAGCUUGUGCUUUGCAGGGCACGUGAGGACCCCAACCCAUGGGUACCUAAAGCAGCCCUGAUGGUGGGGGACGCACUGCGGUGACGGUAUUGUCUCAUCACGGGGGGGUUUGGUGCCUCCUGGGGGGCCAGAGCCAAGGGUGGUCUUGUCUCUUUCCCGAAACCUGCAAAGUUUUUGUUUUGAAGUCGACAUGGCACCUCUUUUUCUCAAAAACUGGAAAUGUGUUUUAUGUCUCCAAAUACCUCUCUGGGCAGCCCAUAAGAGAUGACCUCUGCCAUGUAGUCUACAGCAACGCAAGCUGAGCAACACGGCAAGAGCGUGAUAUGUGACAGCAAAGAAAAAAAGUCCUUCAAAAUACUGACUUGAAGACGAAUACCCGAAGCCGUGCAAGUCAGAUGAAAGCAUAGGCACGGGCAGUGCAUGCCAAGGCUCAGCUUCCAGGACCAUGAGAGGAUGCCAGGCCGCUCUGCUUCCAAUUACACGAGUAUUAUACCUCCUGCUCCGAAGACUGCAAGCACAGAUUUGACCGCUUUCCCGUGCCAGCCGCUUCCAGGGAGGGUAGGAGAGGAGUGCCCCAGGCUCAGCCUGGCUGGCACGGCCACAGCUGCCCAGCUGAGGAAGGACACGUCCUGGUCACCAGGGCGAUGGGCGAUGACUGACAAAAGGAGAGAGGUCUGCCACCGAAUUUCAGCUGGUGAAGAAGAGAGAGCAAACACUAGCUGCGCUCGGUUUUGUGUCCCCUGUCAGCAGCAGUCAAUAGAAAUGGUUGAAACGGCUGUCGUGGCAUCAGACCUGCCAGAGGAUUUCUAGCUUCUGUAGGACUUGCAAGUAUGAGGUGACCACUUGGAUCCCAGAGAACAUGGUCAGCACACGAGGAGACUGAAACACAGCAGGCAGUACACAAGGUAAGUAUUUACUCUCUGCGUAUUCGGGUUAUGGGGAUACUGCUUGUCUGCAGUGCUGGAGCUGUUUACAGCAGCUUGUGAGCUUUAAUAAGUGACUUAUUUUCUGG